GCCUGAUCCAGCCAUGCCGCGUGAGUGAUGAAGGCCCUAGGGUUGUAAAGCUCUUUUGUGCGGGAAGAUAAUGACGGUACCGCAAGAAUAAGCCCCGGCUAACUUCGUGCCAGCAGCCGCGGUAAUACGAAGGGGGCUAGCGUUGCUCGGAAUCACUGGGCGUAAAGGGUGCGUAAGCGGGUUUCUAAGUCAGAGGUGAAAUCCUGGAGCUCAACUCCAGAACUGCCUUUGAUACUGGAAGUCUUGAGUAUGGGAGAGGUGAGUGGAACUGCGAGUGUAGAGGUGAAAUUCAUAUAUAUUCGCAAGAACACCAGUGGCGAAGGCGGCUCAGUGGCCCAUUACUGACGCUGAGGCACGAAAGCGUGGGGAGCAAACAGGAUUAAAUACCCUGGUAGUCCACGCCAUAAACGAUGAAGGCCAGCCGUUAGUGGGUUUACUCACUAGUGGCGCAGCUAACGCUUUAAGCAUUCCGCCUGGGGAGUACGGUCGCAAGAUUAAAACUCAAAGGAAUUGACGGGGGCCCGCACAAGCGGUGGAGCAUGUGGUUUAAUUCGACGCAGCACGCAGAACCUUACCAGCCCUUGACAUGUCUAUGACCGGUACCAGAUAUGGAACCUUCCCUUCGGGGCAUA
RNAcentral lists this ribosomal RNA (632 nucleotides) under Bradyrhizobiaceae bacterium Se3Ps_2587. RNAcentral describes it as "bacterial SSU rRNA". It matches the Rfam family "Bacterial small subunit ribosomal RNA", at positions 381 to 1029 of the family's 1533-position model. Lineage: Bacteria; Pseudomonadati; Pseudomonadota; Alphaproteobacteria; Hyphomicrobiales; Nitrobacteraceae. The record is from RNAcentral.